This 195-nucleotide ribosomal RNA is filed under the name Triticum aestivum (bread wheat). RNAcentral describes it as "partial small subunit ribosomal RNA". The record is from RNAcentral. Lineage: Eukaryota; Viridiplantae; Streptophyta; Magnoliopsida; Poales; Poaceae.
AUGGAUGGUCUCCUACAAUGGGAUUUCAAUCCUGGCCUUGCGGUUGCCGAUCAGGUACGUCGAUGGUUUGGAGAAACGGUCCGUUUCUCUCCUUCUCGCCCUACCAAGGAGUUCUUCUUAGUGGUAUCUUUCUCUUCGGCCUCCUUCCCUCUCUCUGAAGAUUCGGUGGGCAUGGCCCUUCAAUGUUGCAUUGGA